UCUGCCUCUGUGGUGGAUAGUGGAGUGUUUCCCAUGUGGUAUUGGUGUGCUGGAUAUCCCUUCACUGGUAGCCUGGUAGCAUACAUUCCCAGGUCUUUCUCUGCCUCUGUGGUGGAUAGUGGAGUGUUUCCCAUGUGGUAUUGGUGUGCUGGAUAUCCCUUCACUGGUAGCCUGGUAACAUACACUCCCAGGUCUUUCUCUGCCUCUGUGGUGGAUAGUGGAGUGUUUCCCAUGUGCUAUUGGUGUGCUGGAUAUCCCUUCACUGGUAGCCUGGUAACAUACACUCCCAGGUCUUUCUCUGCCUCUGUGGUGGAUAGUGGAGUGUUUCCCAUGUGGUAUUGGUAUGCUGGAUAUCCCUUCACUGGUAGCCUGGUGACAUACACUCCCAGGUCUUUCUCUGCCUCUGUGGUGGAUAGUGGAGUGUUUCCCAUGUGGUAUUGGUGUGCUGGAUAUCCCUUCACUGGUAGCCUGGUAACAUACACUCCCAGGUCUUUCUCUGCCUCUGUGGUGGAUAGUGGAGUGUUCCCCAUGUGGUAUUGGUGAGCUGGAUAUCCCUUAACUGGUAGCCUGGUAACAUACACUCCCAGGUCUUUCUCUGCCUCUGUGGUGGAUAGUGGAGUGUUUCCCAUGUGGUAUUGGUGUGCUGGAUAUCCCUUCACUGGUAGCCUGGUAACAUACACUCCCAGGUCUUUCUCUGCCUCUGUGGUGGAUAGUGGAGUGUUUCCCAUGUGGUAUUGGUGUGCUGGAUAUCCCUUCACUGGUAGCCUGGUAACAUACACUCCCAGGUCUUUCUCUGCCUCUGUGGUGGAUAGUGGAGUGUUUCCCAUGUGCUAUUGAUAUGCUGGAUUUCCCCUCCCAAGGUGCAUGACUUUAUAUUUUUCUUCAUUGCAUUGUAGCAGACACAAUGCUCUGUAGUUUGGUGAUGUCUUAUUGUAGGAAAUCCGCAGCCAAGGGGUAAAGAAAAAAUAUAUAAACGGAUCUUGCGUUUCAGUUUGAGAAAUUU
This is a long non-coding RNA of Eriocheir sinensis (Chinese mitten crab), 1003 nucleotides long. RefSeq lists it as uncharacterized. The transcript has 3 exons. The record is from RefSeq and is a predicted model, not a curated record. Lineage: Eukaryota; Metazoa; Arthropoda; Malacostraca; Decapoda; Varunidae.